This 72-nucleotide transfer RNA is filed under the name Pseudomonadota bacterium. Its description in RNAcentral is "tRNA-Arg". It matches the Rfam family "tRNA". Rfam says of the family: Transfer RNA (tRNA) molecules are approximately 80 nucleotides in length. Lineage: Bacteria; Pseudomonadati; Pseudomonadota. The record is from RNAcentral. RNAcentral also lists the same sequence under 3 other names.
GCCCCUGUAGCUCAGAGGAUAGAGCGUUGGUCUCCGAAGCCAUGUGCCCGCGUUCGAGUCGCGGCAGGGGCA